UUUUGACCAAUGUGUUUUUGAGACUCUUGAUCUCAAGACUGAAGAAAAUUCAUAAUCUGGCGACUAUUGCAAUAGGCAACUUCGAUAGGCUUCCGAAAGCUGGCACACAAGCCAACCUUUGAAUCUAUAAUGCCCUUACAAAAAUAAAAUGGAGAGUUACUGGUCACCUUAGGGUAAAGAUGUGCAGCCAGCUAAUUCCUCUAAAGACUUGCAGAUGCAUAGAAGACCGAAGCACCUGCCAUUCCUGUCUGAACUUAACCAAGUUAGAGGUAAAGGGUAGUCUAUGUUAAUGAAAAUAUUAUGUUGCUGAGAAACCAAACUGGACCAGAGCUGGAAAGGCCUUCUGCACUGGCUGGUGUCCUCAGUCAGAAGGCGACAAGAGAGCUAUUAGGGAGAAAGCCACCAACAAUCAUGCUCAACUGUAGACCUUGACCGCUGAGCUACCCGGCAAGACACUCCCACAAUAGCGUGGGGGCGUAAAUCUCAGCGUCUGAAACCCUCCCUUUUCUCCGUACUGUACUUAAAUUGAUCUUUGCUGUUGUGGUGGUGGUGGUUUUGACCCUUGGGAGUAUAUAAAAACUUUUCCAAUUUUUCUUUUUAAACAUUUGAAAAUUACAGCCACCUAGAAUCUAUUCUAGAAUUUACGAUGCCAUAACCUGGUUAUUUGAAAAAGUUGAGCUUCAAUCCAGCACAAAAAAUUGAUUCUUUUCCAACCUGGAGACCUCAGAAUGUUCUGAUCUUGGUAAAAUUGCUGCUAGAAUACAAAUGAAUGAUGUUGCUUCCAUUCCAGCCACGUGUUUCCAUAGCAACCUUAAAUGGGGCCGAGACCAGAUCACUAGAGCUUUCCACAUUCUGGUUUGAGGCUCCUGCCCCUCUCUGUGCUGAUCAGUGGGUUUUAAGAGUGAGAUCAACCAGGCGAAGAGCUAUCUAAGCCUGAGUGUGUAUGCUGGCAACAACAGAGAGGUGCAGACAGACAGAGGGACAAGCUGAUCGCAGCACCUCAGAAUCCAUUGGGUGUCAGGUGCUGGUUUGCGCACAAGUUCUGUGGGGUGUGCUAUCUCAAUUAUUCACCCUUUUCCAUGUAACUUUUGUUAAGAACAAAUUAUAUUUAUCUUUUAAUGAAAGUUUGUCAUUUUGAAAACAGAUUAGGCACAUAUCUAUAUUCCCAUAAGUCUAGUUUAUAUCGAUGAAAAAUAUUCAUCAACCGCACCAUCAGCUUGCCAGACGAAUGUAAGAAACGGGAUGGUAAGAUGGGUUUCUACCUCACCCCGCUGCUACGUCAGAAUUAGUAAAUGACAGAGUAGAUGAGUAGAGUGUCACAGAACAGCGUUGCUCACUGCACAACAUGAAGACUAGCUCUCUGGGGCCUGGAGCACUGAGGGAGGAGGCUGCAGAAGGUUGUGAUGUUGCCUGCUCUGCUCUCUAAAGCACCCGCCAUUCAAAUCGAAGCUAUGUGUCAGGAGACGUAUUGGAGAGGUGACUCAGAGGUCC
RNAcentral lists this small RNA (1491 nucleotides) under Rattus norvegicus (Norway rat). Its description in RNAcentral is "uncharacterized LOC108352697". Lineage: Eukaryota; Metazoa; Chordata; Mammalia; Rodentia; Muridae. The record is from RNAcentral.